Molecule: non-coding RNA, 368 nt
Organism: Punica granatum (pomegranate)
Lineage: Eukaryota; Viridiplantae; Streptophyta; Magnoliopsida; Myrtales; Lythraceae
Source: RefSeq, a predicted model, not a curated record
GAGGAGAGCGAGAGUGAAAGAGAGGUAUAGAGAGACAGAGAGAGGAUGUGCUAGAGAAAAGGGAAAUAGAGAACUCGAUCGAGAGUCGGGUUGGAGUUCACCCAAAGAUAAGUUUCCAAUUGCGCGGAGGAACCACUUUUUAAUAUCGGGGAUCAGCUUGGAGGACUUGGUAGGAACCUUAGUUAUUUAAUAGAUAUCCUUUCUGUAUAGAAUGGACUUUAGAAUGUUCCGACCUGAAGAUUUUGUUUAGUUGUAUCACUGAUGUGAGAGCGGAAAAGAAAUCUUUGGAUAAGUGUAUAUACCUAUUAGAGUUGAUGGAUUGGUUAUAUACUUUGGAAAUUUAUGAGAAGUAAGUUUUUAUGUGAUAA